GAGACAUGUGGUUUAUUCGAUGAUACGCGAGGACCUACCGGGCUUGAACUGCAGCCGAACGAUAGAGAGAUCUUGAGGUCCUUCGGGACGGCUGUGGAGGUGCUGCAUGGUUGUCGUCAGCUCGUGCCGUGAGGUGUCGGCUUAAGUGCCAUAACGAGCGCAACCCCUUUCGUCAGUUGCCAUCAGGUAGAGCUGGGCACUCUGGCGACACUGCCACCGUAAGGUGUGAGGAAGGUGGGGAUGACGUCAAAUCAGCACGGCCCUUACGUCCGGGGCUACACACGUGUUACAAUGGGUGGUACAGAGAGAAGGCGGCCCGCAAGGUCCGUCAAAUCACGAAAGCCAUCCUCAGUUCGGAUUGGGGUCUGCAACCCGACCCCAUGAAGCUGGAUUCGCUAGUAAUCGCGCAUCAGCCAUGGCGCGGUGAAUACGUUCCCGGGCCUUGUACACACCGCCCGUCAAGCCAUGAAAGCCUGGGGCGCCUGAAGUCCGUGACCGCGAGGGUCGGCCUAGGGUGAAACAGGUGAUUGGGGCU
RNAcentral lists this ribosomal RNA (535 nucleotides) under uncultured rumen bacterium. RNAcentral's name for it is "bacterial SSU rRNA". It matches the Rfam family "Bacterial small subunit ribosomal RNA", at positions 934 to 1482 of the family's 1533-position model. The record is from RNAcentral.